RNAcentral lists this long non-coding RNA (277 nucleotides) under Carica papaya (papaya). RNAcentral's name for it is "long non-coding RNA (CPAP_LNC007623)". The record is from RNAcentral. Lineage: Eukaryota; Viridiplantae; Streptophyta; Magnoliopsida; Brassicales; Caricaceae.
UGGGUGUCCUAUUACGCAUGAAUCUAUCUCCUAAACUUGUCGACUAACCGGUCAUCUCCAUACCACGUCCGGUAUGAAUACCAAAAAUAUCAUUCAUCGAUACCCCAUAUAGUAUGAGGGUGAAUCAGUCCGUCUCUAUACACCGUCCGGUAUGAGUACAAAAAAUAUCAUCCCUUGAUACCCCGUCCGAUAUGAGGUAACGUUCACAGUAGGGUUUCCUAUGUAGCCGGUUCGUCCACCAUCUCUCAAAAAUCUAGUAAGAUAAUUGUUCAUUAAU